CUCUCCUCUCCAAAUUCUCUCUAACCCUCUCCAAACCCUAACCUCUCUCACCGUCUCCUACCUCAAGCUUACCGGAAAUCAUGGCUCCUCCGGUCAUGAUAACCCCAUACUCACCCUCUAUUAUUCCUGUAUGUUUAAUAUCUUAAGAAUCAAGGCCUUGACCUGGAAUGUUCCCUUUCAGAUCUUCUUAGAUCUAUGGUUCUAUGGCCUCUCCGGCCUUGCUCCGGCAUAUUCAAGGCUCAGGAAGCUUGAUACUCACUCAUCCGACCCCAGGAUCUGACUUUUCCAAG
RNAcentral lists this long non-coding RNA (290 nucleotides) under Nicotiana benthamiana. Its description in RNAcentral is "long non-coding RNA (NBEN_LNC025403)". The record is from RNAcentral. Lineage: Eukaryota; Viridiplantae; Streptophyta; Magnoliopsida; Solanales; Solanaceae.